UGCGGUGGUACUCGUGCUGGUACGGGUGGGCGGCUGUUAACCGUCUUGACGCAGGUUCGAUUCCUGCCACCGCAGC
This 76-nucleotide transfer RNA is filed under the name Gimesia maris. RNAcentral's name for it is "tRNA-Asn". It matches the Rfam family "tRNA". Rfam says of the family: Transfer RNA (tRNA) molecules are approximately 80 nucleotides in length. Their secondary structure includes four short double-helical elements and three loops (D, anti-codon, and T loops). Lineage: Bacteria; Pseudomonadati; Planctomycetota; Planctomycetia; Planctomycetales; Planctomycetaceae. The record is from RNAcentral.